GCGCAGCUGAUCAGCCAUGCCGCGUGAGUGAUGAAGGCCCUAGGGUUGUAAAGCUCUUUCAGCGAGGAGGAUAAUGACGUUACUCGCAGAAGAAGCCCCGGCUAACUUCGUGCCAGCAGCCGCGGUAAUACGAAGGGGGCUAGCGUUGUUCGGAAUCACUGGGCGUAAAGCGCACGUAGGCGGACUGAUCAGUCAGGGGUGAAAUCCCGGGGCUCAACCCCGGAACUGCCUUUGAUACUGUCAGUCUUGAGUCCGAGAGAGGUGAGUGGAACUCCGAGUGUAGAGGUGAAAUUCGUAGAUAUUCGGAAGAACACCAGUGGCGAAGGCGGCUCACUGGCUCGGUACUGACGCUGAGGUGCGAAAGCGUGGGGAGCAAACAGGAUUAGAUACCCCGGUAGUCAAA
RNAcentral lists this ribosomal RNA (403 nucleotides) under Roseibium hamelinense. Its description in RNAcentral is "bacterial SSU rRNA". It matches the Rfam family "Bacterial small subunit ribosomal RNA", at positions 377 to 798 of the family's 1533-position model. The record is from RNAcentral. Lineage: Bacteria; Pseudomonadati; Pseudomonadota; Alphaproteobacteria; Hyphomicrobiales; Stappiaceae.